AUUGAACGCUGGCGGCAGGCUUAACACAUGCAAGUCGAGCGGAGCGAGGGUGCUUGCACCUUAGCUUAGCGGCGGACGGGUGAGUAAUGCUUAGGAAUCUGCCUAUUAGUGGGGGACAACAUUCCGAAAGGAAUGCUAAUACCGCAUACGCCCUACGGGGGAAAGCAGGGGAUCUUCGGACCUUGCGCUAAUAGAUGAGCCUAAGUCGGAUUAGCUAGGUGGUGGGGUAAAGGCCUACCAAGGCGACGAUCUGUAGCGGGUCUGAGAGGAUGAUCCGCCACACUGGGACUGAGACACGGCCCAGACUCCUACGGGAGGCAGCAGUGGGGAAUAUUGGACAAUGGGCGGAAGCCUGAUCCAGCCAUGCCGCGUGUGUGUAGAAGGCCUUUUGGUUGUAAAGCACUUUAAGCGAGGAGGAGGCUACUUAGAUUAAUACUCUGGGAUAGUGGACGUUACUCGCAGAAUAAGCACCGGCUAACUCUGUGCCAGCCGCCGCGGUAA
RNAcentral lists this ribosomal RNA (501 nucleotides) under uncultured bacterium. Its description in RNAcentral is "partial 16S ribosomal RNA". It matches the Rfam family "Bacterial small subunit ribosomal RNA", at positions 30 to 523 of the family's 1533-position model. The record is from RNAcentral.